AAUUCCCUCCCUUUUAUUGCCGACCUGUACUGGUGCCUCCUCACUCCCCUUGACUCCAAUGCCGUCCUCUGUUUUCCCAGACCCUGUUUCCUCCCACCCCCCAGAAUGCCCCUCUUGGUUCAACCCAGCUCCUGCACCCUUCCACCCCAAUCGUGCCGUUGAGGGCAGUUACUUCCUCCUCACUUCCCCUGGUGUGGCUGGACAGGGCUGCUGGUCAGGAGGCAUGUAGUCAUGUUGGAAGGCAGCAGUCCCAGAGCCAGGAAAGGGGUUAAGGCCAUCACAAAGUUCAGCAAGAGGCGGGCUCUGUGUGGGUCUGGGGCCACCAGAACUCGUUGCUCAGAGGUCCCCAGUGCUGGGAGCAGGAGGUAAGUCCUGAAAUCAGUAGGGCAGGGGUGAGACUGCUGCCAGCUGGUCCUGAUGGUGACCCAUGAGGCAGGCAGGAGUGAAGCCUCCACCAGCCGACCGCUGCCUCCCCGUGUGGGGGAAGCCUGGCCCAGCAGGCUGAGAACCGCGCAGGAACCCCGCGUGCCUUCCACCGUCCUCUGCAUCUCAGCUCUGACUUGGCAGCCCUCCGACCUCGGCCUGGUUACUUCGCCUUUCAGCAGCUUCUUUAUGUGGCUGCAGUGAGAAUUAAGUGACAUAAUCCAUGUACAGUGCCAGGCACACAGAAGGUCAUUCAGGAAAGAUGAUUAAACUACUCACCCAGGGACACUGACUGGUAAGUGGCAGAGCCUGGGUUUGAACCCAGGUCUACUGAAUGCUAGAGCCUGUGGAAACUGGAGCUUU
This 786-nucleotide long non-coding RNA is filed under the name Pan paniscus (pygmy chimpanzee). RNAcentral describes it as "lncRNA (ENSPPAG00000045062.1)". Lineage: Eukaryota; Metazoa; Chordata; Mammalia; Primates; Hominidae. The record is from RNAcentral.